CUUGUUGACUCACAUGAUUCAA
This 22-nucleotide small nuclear RNA is filed under the name Arabidopsis thaliana (thale cress). Its description in RNAcentral is "snRNA_12941". Lineage: Eukaryota; Viridiplantae; Streptophyta; Magnoliopsida; Brassicales; Brassicaceae. The record is from RNAcentral.